Molecule: long non-coding RNA, 494 nt
Organism: Ipomoea nil (Japanese morning glory)
Lineage: Eukaryota; Viridiplantae; Streptophyta; Magnoliopsida; Solanales; Convolvulaceae
Exons: 2
Source: RefSeq, a predicted model, not a curated record
AGAAAUUAAGGCAUUUCGAUCAUACAACAAUUUAGAAGUUGAAGAUGAAGCUCCAACAUUUCUUCAUUUUUAUUGCUUUGUCAAUGGCUAUCCUUGUCUCUCCAGGGGAGAGUGUAAUAAUGAGUGAAGGUGAAGGGAGGUGCAUGGCAGUGAUGGAAUCAGAUGGAUGUAACCUUUCUUCCUGCAAGCUGCGUUGCUUUCAAGUAAAGAAUGGGAAUGGAGUUUGCUUAGCCAAUUCCAAGCUUCGAGAGGGCUAUCAGUGCAUGUGCUAUUUUAAUUGUUAGUUGACUUAUUCUCAAAAACCAAACAUCUAUCAUUAGUAUCUACGAAACAGUUGUAUUUAUGUUGUCGGAAUCUCAUCUCAUCUUGUCCCAAUUCCAUAGUAAUAAUGGUGGUAGUUGUGUUUGGUUGAUGAGAUAAUUGGUGUGAUCAUAAAUCCCCUUCCCUUCUCAGUCCCUCUCAGUAUGCAGUUGACUCAACUUGAUUUUAUUUCA